This 655-nucleotide unclassified non-coding RNA is filed under the name Hevea brasiliensis (rubber tree). The record is from RNAcentral. Lineage: Eukaryota; Viridiplantae; Streptophyta; Magnoliopsida; Malpighiales; Euphorbiaceae.
CCUCAAUCAUUUACAUUUACACAGAAUCAAAAACCCAAAAAAAUUAAGUCAAAGAAAUUAAAAAUCAGUAGCAAUUAACCCAAAAGAGGAGUUUCUUCCUCUUCUUGACUAUCAAAUUCAUCACCACACUCAUACACAGAUCCAACAAGCCUUAACUGAUCUUCCAAAUACCUCUGCAAAAGUCCAACUUCCUUUUCCUCAUCCACCAUCCGAUCGCAAUCGCAGAAUCCCUCUUCACAUCGCCGCAGACGUUCCUCAUCGUCCACCUCCUUUUUCCCCCGGCAGAGGCGGCAAGUGUGGAUGCAGAGCUCAACAGCACAUAGAAGAGGAAAGCAAGCGCAGAUAAAAGGGAGAAGAAUAGGAGAACAGAGGAGGAGAAAGAGAAAGCGGCUCCAGCGCGUGCGGAGCCACGAAGUGGCGGCUAGCAUGACCCGGUGGACCGGCGAGAACAUGGAGGAAGGAGGGGUCGUGGGGGAGGAAUUGAAUUGGGAUUCAUGGCCGAUGGGGUGAGGAUUUGGGGGAAGUAGUAGUGAAGGUGGAGUGGGUUUGGGGUUUGAAAGAGAAGGGGCAGCAUGUGAGCGGGGAUUUUUAUACAUGAAGGGCAUGUGAUUAAUUGGUGAAGCUGAUGUUGAUUUUGAUUUUGGGUAACUGAUUU